RNAcentral lists this ribosomal RNA (253 nucleotides) under uncultured bacterium. RNAcentral's name for it is "partial 16S ribosomal RNA". It matches the Rfam family "Bacterial small subunit ribosomal RNA", at positions 524 to 776 of the family's 1533-position model. The record is from RNAcentral.
UACGUAGGUGACAAGCGUUGUCCGGAUUUACUGGGCGUAAAGAGCGCGCAGGCGGUCGGUCAAGUCGAGUGUGAAAGCCCCCGGCUCAACUGGGGAGGGUCACUCGAUACUGAUCGACUCGAAGGCAGGAGAGGGAAGUGGAGUUCCCGGUGUAGUGGUGAAAUGCGUAGAUAUCGGGAGGAACACCAGUGGCGAAGGCGACUUCCUGGCCUGUUCUUGACGCUGAGGCGCGAAAGCUAGGGGAGCAAACGGG